This 1089-nucleotide ribosomal RNA is filed under the name uncultured Candidatus Saccharibacteria bacterium. Its description in RNAcentral is "bacterial SSU rRNA". It matches the Rfam family "Bacterial small subunit ribosomal RNA", at positions 28 to 1167 of the family's 1533-position model. Lineage: Bacteria; Candidatus Saccharimonadota. The record is from RNAcentral.
GAUGAACGCUGGCGGCAUGCCUAACACAUGCAAGUCGAUCGGUAAGGCUCUUCGGAGUACACGAGAGGCGGACGGCUGAGUAACGCGUAGGAACACACCCUGCAGUGAGGGAUAAGACACCGAAAGGUGUUCUAAUACCGCAUACGGUCUUCGGAUUAAAGCAUUUAUGCGCUGAAGGAGUGGCCUGCGUCAUAUUAGAUAGUUGGUGAGGUAAUGGCUUACCAAGUCGAUGAUGUGUAGCUGGUCUGAGAGGAUGAUCAGCCAGACUGGAACUGAGACACGGUCCAGACUCCUACGGGAGGCAGCAGUGAGGAAUAUUUCACAAUGAGCGAAAGCUUGAUGGAGCAAUGCCGCGUGCAGGAUGAAGGCCUUCGGGUUGUAAACUGCUUUUAUAAGAGAAGAUUAUGACGGUAACUUAUGAAUAAGGGACGGCUAACUACGUGCCAGCAGCCGCGGUCAUACGUAGGUCCCGAGCGUUAUCCGGAGUGACUGGGCGUAAAGAGUUGCGUAGGCGGUCAAGUUAGCGAGCGAUGAAAACUAUCGGCUCAACCGAUAGCUUGUUGUUCGAACUGCUUGACUCGAGAGUAUCAGAGGUCGCUGGAAUUCCUAGUGUAGCAGUGAAAUGCGUAGAUAUUAGGAAGAACACCGAUGGCGUAGGCAGGCGACUGGGAUAUUUCUGACGCUAAGGCACGAAAGCGUGGGUAGCGAACCGGAUUAGAUACCCGGGUAGUCCACGCCGUAAACGAUGGAUGCUAAUUGUUUGAGGUAUCGACCCCUCGAGUAAUAAAGCUAACGCGUUAAGCAUCCCGCCUGUGGAGUACGGCCGCAAGGCUAAAACAUAAAGGAAUUGACGGGGACCCGCACAAGCGGUGGAGGAUGUUCUUUAAUUCGACGUUAAGCGAAGAACCUUACCAGGGCUUGACAUCCCUAGAACUUUUUCGAAAGAAAAAGGUGCCUUCGGGAGCUAGGUGACAGAUCCUGCAUGGCCGUCGUCAGCUCGUGUCGUGAGAUGUUUGGUUAAGUCCAUCAACGAGCGCAACCCUUGUCGUCAGUUGUAUUUUUCUGGUAGGACUGCCCCGGUAACGGGGA